This is a long non-coding RNA of Ictalurus punctatus (channel catfish), 1497 nucleotides long. The record is from Ensembl. NCBI's taxonomy places the organism in Eukaryota, Metazoa, Chordata, Actinopteri, Siluriformes, Ictaluridae.
AACACCCACAAUCACGAUGUUUCAUGGUGAAUGUCGGCGUGUGACGGUGAAUGUGGGCGUGUGAUGGUGAUGUCAGUGUUUGAUGGUGAAUGUCGGCGUGUGACGGAGAAUGUGGGCGUGUGAUGGUGAAUGUCGGCGUGUGAUGGUGAAUGUGGGUGUGUGUGAUGGUGAAUGUCGGCGUGUGAUGGUGAAUGUGGGCGUGUGACGGUGAAUGUCGGUGUGUGAUGGUGAGUGUCGGCGUGUGAUGGUGAGUGUCGGCGUGUGAUGGUGAAUGUGGGCGUGUGAUGGUGAAUGUCGGUGUGUGAUGGUGAGUGUCGGCGUGUGAUGGUGAAUGUGGGCGUGUGAUGGUGAAUGUCGGUGUGUGAUGGUGAGUGGUCGGCGUGUGAUGGUGAAUGUGGGCGUGUGACGGUGAAUGUGGGCGUGUGAUGGUGAAUGUGGGCGUGUGAUGGUGAGUGUCGGCGUGUGAUGGUGAAUGUCGGCGUGUGAUGGUGAGUGUCGGCGUGUGAUGGUGAAUGUGGGCGUGUGAUGGAGAAUGUGGGCGUGUGAUGGUGAAUGUCGGCGUGUGACGGUGAAUGUGGGCGUGUGACGGUGAAUGUGGGCGUGUGACGGUGAAUGUGGGCGUGUGAUGGUGAAUGUGGGCGUGUGGUGGUGAAUGUCGGCGUGUGAUGGUGAAUGUGGGCGUGUGAUGGUGAAUGUGGGCGUGUGAUGGUGAGUGUCGGCGUGUGAUGGUGAAUGUGGGCGUGUGACGGUGAAUGUCGGCGUGUGAUGGUGAAUGUAGGCGUGUGAUGGUGAAUGUGGGCGUGUGAUGGUGAAUGUGGGCGUGUGAUGGUGAGUGUCGGCGUGUGAUGGUGAAUGUCGGUGUGUGAUGGUGAAUGUGGGUGUGUGAUGGUGAAUGUGGGCGUGUGACGGUGAAUGUGGGCGUGUGACGGUGAAUGUGGGUGUGUGACGGUGAAUGUGGGCGUGUGAUGGUUAAUGUCGGCGUGUGACGGUGAAUGUCGGUGUGUGAUGGUGAAUGUCGGUGUGUGAUGGUGAAUGUCGAUGUUUCAUGGUGAAUGUCUGUAUUUGAUGCAUUUAUAUCAUGUGAUUUGAGUCAUGGAGAUGGAAAUACCCCUCCCCCCACACACCCACGACAUAAAAAACAUCUGGAAGCCAUUUUUACGGCCGGCUCGCUCUGCUUUUUAAACACAUGUCACAUUUUAAAGCUAUUUUCCCUCACUCUCUCCCUUCCAUCCCGUGAAACUGUCAUUAUCUUGUCCGAGGCCUUGAUUCCACUUAAUCCUCCCAUAAUAACCCACACCAGUCACCCGUAAACCAAAGAGAAAAGAAAAAAAGAAAAAGCGAUCUACAAACAUCGCAAAAAUCGAGACCUUCAAUCUCAGAUAUCCUCUGGAUUGGAAAAUACCUCGGGAAGUGGAAAAUAAGAAUCCCGAUGUAGGACGGGGAACUAAAAAGAUACGCACACACACACACACACACACACACACACACACACACACA